AUUGAACGCUGGCGGCAUGCCUAACACAUGCAAGUCGAACGAGUGGCGGACGGGUGAGUAAUGUCUUGGAAACUGCCCGACGGAGGGGGAUAACUACUGGAAACGGUAGCAAAUACCGCUUACCAUCGUAUGUGCCCAGAUGGGAUUAGCUAGUCGGUGGGGUACCGGCUCACCUAGGGGACGAUCCCUAGCUGGUCUGAGAGGAUGACCAGCCACACUGGGACUGAGACACGGCCCAGACUCCUACGGGAGGCAGCAGUGGGGAAGAUUGGGCAAUGGGCGAAAGCCUGAUGCAGCAACGCCGCGUGUAUGAAGAAGGCUUUCGGGUUGUAAAGCUCUGUCAGCGAGGAGGCGUUACUCGCAGAAGAAGCAACGGCUAACUCCGUGCCAGCAGCCGCGGUAAUAC
Molecule: ribosomal RNA, 406 nt
Filed under: uncultured bacterium
Lineage: Bacteria
Description: partial 16S ribosomal RNA
Rfam family: Bacterial small subunit ribosomal RNA
Source: RNAcentral